ACUGAGGGGGGCUGCUCCUAGUACGAGAGGACCGGAGUGGACGCAUCACUGGUGUUCGGGUUGUCAUGCCAAUGGCACUGCCCGGUAGCUAAAUGCGGAAGAGAUAAGUGCUGAAAGCAUCUAAGCAUGAAACUUGCCCCGAGAUGAGUUCUCCCUGACCCUUUAAGGGUCCUGAAGGAACGUUGAAGACGACGACGUUGAUAGGCCGGGUGUGUAAGCGCAGCGAUGCGUUGAGCUAACCGGUACUAAUGAACC
Molecule: ribosomal RNA, 255 nt
Filed under: Escherichia coli
Lineage: Bacteria; Pseudomonadati; Pseudomonadota; Gammaproteobacteria; Enterobacterales; Enterobacteriaceae
Description: partial 23S ribosomal RNA
Rfam family: Bacterial large subunit ribosomal RNA
Source: RNAcentral